GGAGUUAGGAAAUGUAGGUGCGAUAAUACCGUGCCUAUUUGACAAAGGCUCCAAAGGAAGCCACGGCUAACUCUGUGCCAGCAGCCGCGGUAAUACAGAGGUGGCAAGCGUUGUUCGGAAUUAUUGGGCGUAAAGAGCACGUAGGUGGAUUUGUUAGUCAGAUGUGAAAGCCUUUCGUUCAACGGAAGAAUUGCAUCUGAAACUACAAACCUUGAGUAUAGGAGGGGAGAGUGGAACUUCUGGU
Molecule: ribosomal RNA, 244 nt
Filed under: uncultured anaerobic ammonium-oxidizing bacterium
Lineage: Bacteria
Description: partial 16S ribosomal RNA
Rfam family: Bacterial small subunit ribosomal RNA
Source: RNAcentral